This 492-nucleotide ribosomal RNA is filed under the name uncultured bacterium. Its description in RNAcentral is "partial 16S ribosomal RNA". It matches the Rfam family "Bacterial small subunit ribosomal RNA", at positions 30 to 507 of the family's 1533-position model. The record is from RNAcentral.
AUUGAACGCUGGCGGCAUGCUUUACACAUGCAAGUCGAACGGUAACAGGCCUUCGGGUGCUGACGAGUGGCGAACGGGUGAGUAAUGCAUCGGAACGUGCCCAGAGGUGGGGGAUAACGCAGCGAAAGCUGUGCUAAUACCGCAUGUGAUCUGAGGAUGAAAGCGGGGGACCAGGCAGCAAUGUUUGGCCUCGCGCCUUUGGAGCGGCCGAUGUCAGAUUAGGUAGUUGGUGGGGUAAAGGCCUACCAAGCCGACGAUCUGUAGCUGGUCUGAGAGGACGACCAGCCACACUGGGACUGAGACACGGCCCAGACUCCUACGGGAGGCAGCAGUGGGGAAUUUUGGACAAUGGGCGCAAGCCUGAUCCAGCAAUGCCGCGUGCGGGAAGAAGGCCUUCGGGUUGUAAACCGCUUUUGUACGGGACGAAAAGGCUCUGGCUAAUACCUGGGGCUGAUGACGGUACCGUAAGAAUAAGCACCGGCUAACUACGUG